AGUGGAUGGUUAAUCCUCUUGGGUCUGAGAUUCACAGCGCAGCAAAGGCUGCAACCACCCUCCACCGCGUCAUUCUUACGAAGACGCCACCAAAUCAAACCAAAUUGCACUCUAAUUCAAAUACGCUUCUGUUCUCUCUCUCUCCCCCCAAACCCAAGUUUCCCCAUUUGUUUCCAAGUUGCACUUCAAAUUCAUCACACUUUUUCCAUUCAUCUCAAAUUCUCUCCAAUUUCAAACCCUAACCCUAGCCUCUCUGCAGAUGAACCCCUACGAUAACAGAUACUCUGACGCCGCUUCUUAUCGCAACCGUCGCAGCGAUAUCCUCGGUUCUGGACCAUUCAUGCCGCCUCCUGUUGUAGGUCGUGGUGCUGCGGUCCCCUACGGUGCCCCUCCGGUCCCUUAUGGUGCAGGAAGAGGAGCUCCGAAUGCCUUCGGGUCCUCGUCGGUAACUUCCUUUACGCCCCCUCCUGGUGGUUUCAAUAUAGGCCGAGGCGGUGGUGGACUUGGUAAUGGCCAUGCUGGUGGCAGAAAAGACGGCGGAGGUCGUUACGGUACUGGUGGAAGAGGUCGCGGAGGUACUGGUAGAAACGGCGGAACUGGUAGAGGCGGUGGAAGCGGUUUUAGGGGAGGCAGAAGUCAUGGUGGUGGAAGAGGAGGAGGAGGUGGUAGACAUGGUGGACGGUCAUCGAAGGAUGAAUUGAACAAGAUUUCCUUGCCAAAGCAGGAUUUUAAGAAUUUGGUCCCUUUUGAGAAGAAUUUCUACGUUGAGUCCCCUGCAGUGAGGGCCAUGUCCGAUCAAGAAGUGAUGCAUUAUCGUGCCAGUAGAGAAAUAACAGUGCAAGGCCAUGAUGUGCCGAAACCCAUUCGGAUGUUCCAUGAGGCCAGGUUUCCUGAUUACUGCCUUGAGGUGAUUGAAAACCUGGGAUUUGUUGAGCCGACUCCAAUCCAGGCCCAGGGUUGGCCGAUGGCUCUUAAAGGCAGAGAUUUGAUUGGCAUUGCGGAGACUGGCUCCGGCAAAACUUUGUCAUAUCUGCUUCCUGCUUUGGUGCAUGUCAGUGCACAACCUCGACUGUCACAUGGGGAUGGUCCCAUUGUCUUAGUUUUAGCACCAACUAGAGAGUUAGCUGUUCAAAUUCAAGAAGAAGCUCAGAAAUUCGCAGGACGGGCAAAUAUUAGAACUACAUGCAUCUAUGGUGGUGCACCAAAGGGACCUCAAAUUCGUGACCUUCAAAGGGGUGUAGAGAUUGUUAUUGCUACACCAGGUCGCCUUAUAGAUAUGCUGGAAGCUCAGCACACAAACUUGCAGAGAGUUACUUACCUUGUCUUGGAUGAAGCUGAUAGGAUGUUGGACAUGGGUUUUGAACCUCAGAUAAGGAAAAUUGUAGGCCAGAUUCGACCAGAUAGACAGACGUUAUAUUGGAGUGCUACAUGGCCAAAGGAGGUUGAAGCUCUGGCAAGGCAGUUCCUGCGCAACCCAUAUAAGGUAAUUAUUGGGUCACCGGAACUGAAAGCAAACCAAUCUAUAAAUCAAGUUGUUGAAGUUGUGACAGAUGCAGAGAAAUAUAACAGAUUGAUUAGAUUGCUGAAAGAAGUGAUGGAUGGGAGCCGAAUUCUAAUAUUUAUGGAGACAAAAAAGGGAUGUGAUCAAAUUACAAGACAAUUGAGGAUGGAUGGAUGGCCAGCUCUAUCCAUCCAUGGUGAUAAAAACCAGGCUGAAAGAGACUGGGUUUUGGCUGAGUUUAAGAAUGGUAGAAGUCCAAUAAUGACUGCCACUGAUGUUGCUGCACGGGGUCUUGGUAGGAUCACUGUGUAUUAAGAAUCAUAGGAAUUUUGGAAUAGGUCUAAAACUUUAACCAUAGGUGAGUCGGCCGGCUGCUGUCCAGUUCUUGAUAUAAUUUGUGGUUUGGGUUCAUGGGGGAGCAUAUUGUCACUUUGUCAGGGUGUUGGGACCGCCUGUAACUUGACCAGGGGAUCAAUGAGUUGCAUUCAGUGGUGAAAUUAUUUUACUGCAGUAAGUGGACUGCCUCUUGUUAUUAAUCUGAGAACUAUCCUUUUCAAAUGUCAAGUUACAUGGAUGCCUGAGGCAGAGUUCCAUUGGUAUGGCUUGGAUGUUUAUCCAAAAUUUGAGGUGGUACAUCGUGUUGUGUUAUCCUGAAAAUGUGAUAAAUUGGGUUAUUCGUGCAUUUUACAUGGUUGGGAAAGCAAGAUUGAUUAUCAAUUAUAAACUAGUGUUGCCAAUGCAAGUCAUACCACAUUAUCACCACUUGUAAAUUUUUUAACAACAUAGUUAUCCCCAUCCACAGUUAUGGAGCUGGUUACUCUCUGCAGCCUGGUUGACUAAUGCAUACUUAGUAGAUAAUUGGAUGUGGUAGACGGCAGUGAUGGUGAGGCUGCUCCUUAUCCCUGAAAGGUUAAGAUGUGAAAGACAUAAAAUGUGUGGUCAAUUAUGAUUUUCCUUCAAGCCUGGAAGAUUAUGUACACAGAAUUGGUCGAACUGGUCGUGCAGGGGCUAAAGGGACUGCGCACACCUUCUUCACACAUGCUAAUGCUAAGUAUGCGAGGG
Molecule: RNA transcript, 2563 nt
Organism: Arachis duranensis
Lineage: Eukaryota; Viridiplantae; Streptophyta; Magnoliopsida; Fabales; Fabaceae
Gene name: DEAD-box ATP-dependent RNA helicase 20
Exons: 9
Source: RefSeq, a predicted model, not a curated record